AAACUAACAAGGAUUCCCCUAGUAACGGCGAGUGAACCGGGAAUAGCCCAACUUGAAAAUCUCCCUUUGGAGAAUUGUAGUCUAUAGAAGCGCCCUCUGCGGCGGCCGGAGCCCAAGUCCACUGGAAAGUGGCGUCAGAGAGGGUGAGAACCGUCGGCUCUAGGCUUAGCUGCUCCACGAGGUGCUUUCCAC
RNAcentral lists this ribosomal RNA (192 nucleotides) under uncultured Chlamydomonadales. Its description in RNAcentral is "partial 26S ribosomal RNA". It matches the Rfam family "Eukaryotic large subunit ribosomal RNA", at positions 62 to 261 of the family's 3401-position model. Lineage: Eukaryota; Viridiplantae; Chlorophyta; Chlorophyceae; Chlamydomonadales. The record is from RNAcentral.